AGAACGAACGCUGGCGGCGUGGAUAAGACAUGCAAGUCGGACGCGAUUUAUCCGGUUAGCAAUAACUGGGUAGAUUGAGUGGCGAAAGGGUGCGUAACACGUGGGAAUUUACCAAGAAGUGGGGAAUAGCUCGACGAAAGUCGAAUUAAUACCGCAUGUGAUCGUAAGAUCAAAGCCGGGGACCGCAAGGCCUGGCGCUUUUUGAGAAGCCCGCGGCCCAUCAGCUAGUUGGUGAGGUAAUGGCUCACCAAGGCUAUGACGGGUAGCUGGUCUGAGAGGACGACCAGCCACACUGGAACUGAGACACGGUCCAGACACCUACGGGUGGCAGCAGUCGAGAAUUUUUCACAAUGGGGAAACCCUGAUGGAGCGACGCCGCGUGGAGGAUGAAGGUUCUUGGAUUGUAAACUCCUGUCACUGCAGAACAAGGAUACGCCAGUUAACAGCCGCGUAUUGAUGGUAUGCGGAGAGGAAGGGACGGCUAACUCUGUG
This 492-nucleotide ribosomal RNA is filed under the name uncultured bacterium. RNAcentral describes it as "SSU rRNA". It matches the Rfam family "Bacterial small subunit ribosomal RNA", at positions 26 to 507 of the family's 1533-position model. The record is from RNAcentral.